This 253-nucleotide ribosomal RNA is filed under the name uncultured bacterium. RNAcentral's name for it is "partial 16S ribosomal RNA". It matches the Rfam family "Bacterial small subunit ribosomal RNA", at positions 524 to 776 of the family's 1533-position model. The record is from RNAcentral.
UACGAAGGGGGCUAGCGUUGCUCGGAAUCACUGGGCGUAAAGGGUGCGUAGGCGGGUCUUUAAGUCAGGGGUGAAAUCCUGGAGCUCAACUCCAGAACUGCAUUUGAUACUGAGGAUCUUGAGUUCGGGAGAGGUGAGUGGAACUGCGAGUGUAGAGGUGAAAUUCGUAGAUAUUCGCAAGAACACCGGUGGCGAAGGCGGCCAACUGGACAGAUACUGACGCUGAGACACGAAAGCGUGGGGAGCAAACAGG